CCUCAUCCACCUGGUCAGGGGUGAUAAAAUGAAUAUGAGUAUCCACGCCACCAGCGGUAACUAUUUUCCUUUCUCCAGAAAUUACAUCGGUACCGGCUCCAACAAUCAUCUUCGGAUGGACACCAUCCAUAAUGUCCGGGUUCCCAGCUUUUCCGAUACCCACAAUAUUCCCCUCCUUGAUGCCAAUAUCGGCAACAUAGAUCCCGCUCCAAUCGAUAAUCAGUGCGUUCGUAAUAACGGUGUCCAACGCCUCAUCCGAGCAUCUUCCGGAAGCUUGGCCCAUGCCUUCUCUCAAUG
This is a non-coding RNA of Blastomyces dermatitidis ER-3, 297 nucleotides long. Lineage: Eukaryota; Fungi; Ascomycota; Eurotiomycetes; Onygenales; Ajellomycetaceae. The record is from Rfam.